Molecule: long non-coding RNA, 2613 nt
Organism: Vigna angularis (adzuki bean)
Lineage: Eukaryota; Viridiplantae; Streptophyta; Magnoliopsida; Fabales; Fabaceae
Exons: 3
Source: RefSeq, a predicted model, not a curated record
AUAUAACAUAUUUCCAUCGUCGCAGAAACAACAACUUCAACUUAAGCAAAAUACCAGACACCGCUGUUUUCAAAAUCCCCAGAACACAACAACAUGUUUAUGUCUAUGUUCAGCCACUUUGACAUCGCGCAGGGCCAGAACUGGAGCUUCUCGUUGGGCCUGGGCCCGGUGAAAGGAGCCGAUUCAAAACCAAACUCCGAGGGCACUUCUUCCUCCGCCGAGUCUAAAACCGCUAGAAAAGAUCCCAAUCAAUCUUCAACCGGUGGAUCCAAGCAAAACCCGGACCGUUUGAAGCCCAGGUUUGCUCCAGAGUUCGACGGGUUACACUGCUUUGAAUCCAUCGUCCUCUGUUAGAAGGAUUCCUUCGUCUCCAACCUUCUCAAUUUGUUUGUAAUAAUUACGUCGUAUAAAAAUACGAGACAAUUCAAUUCAAUUAAUUUGUUUUCUGUAUAGUUUAAUCAACGAUUGAGAAAACUUGUGUGUACACCAGAAAUCGAACUAUGUUUAUCCCGUAACUUAAAAAUUGCUCGUGGCCAUAAUUGCAGUUCUACUUUUUUACCAGUAAUCUUCAUCAAUCAUCGUGUAAGAAAACUGGAUGUAUAAAAAAGCUGUUAGCAAUAAAAAAUAGAUCUUUUUUUUUUUAAAUUACAGUGAUUGAAUCCUACUCCCACAGCAAUCUGCUUCAAUUAAAGGCAAUGAUACAGUAUCUGUAUGUUUUUUUUCUGCCAAUUUUCUCCACACAAUUCCACCAAGGUAAAGGGAUAACAAAAGGGUAUUUUGGUCGGUGAUCACUUAUUCAGAGUUAGAGGAGAAAAAUGUGAAGCAGGUGCAGAUUUUCUUUCAGUUGGUAGUGCACCACGUAAUUUCAUUGCCACCAAAAUAGUGCUCUUCUCGUUUUCCCAUUGCCGACCAUAGCCAUUUUGGAUUUGGUGGUCUCUACUCCACUCUCCUUCAAGAUACUAGAAACCGACCACGACAUCAAGGUGGAUAUAUCUUUUUCUGUCCUUCAUUAGAGUCAACAAAGGAAGGAAAAACAUGUUUUCUGCAAGAAAACAAAAAAAUAAUGGAACGGGAAGAACUAAAGGGACGGUGGAGGGUACAGAAAAGCAUGAGCUAAAUGACAUGUGCGGUUCUCACAACGUGCCAUUCUUUCAACACAGCUUCAUGCAAUAACCUCAGUAAUCCUUUAAUCAAAUGUACAUAUUUUUAUGUUGCGCAGGGUUGGUGCAACAAUGAGUAACUUAUAUUUGCUACGGACCAUGUAUAAUUUCUGCAGAGAUUGAUAAAAUUAGCAUUACGAAAUGAACAAUAAGAAAAAUUGAAAUUACUUUCUCCCUUCUAAGAAUCGGGUGUUUGAAUCACCUAACUUCUUUACACUCUUUUAUAUAAUGGGUUAAAUAGAUCAUUUGAGAAUUUUCUUGCAUUAUUGUAUAAUCAUACAAUCUAUUUUUUUAGCUUACAAAUUAUCUUGCUCGUAUAUGCUUGUUGAAAUAGGACUAGAAAUUCGGGCUUAAGGUAGUGAGUCGCCUAAAAUAAACAAUGAAUCAACAAUAUACAGGUGUUUCAUCUUAAGAAAAGCUUGACAAUGAAUAGAAGUUAAGGUUAAUAACAAUUUAUAUGUACUCUUAUUUCUUACUGAUAUUUCUUUUAAAAGAUAAAACUGUUAACUUACAAAUUUGACAGACUUAAGCAGGACUAUUAGUUUAUUAGAGAGUUAAAUCCUAUCACACACUCAUUCUCUUCCUUUAAGCAAGUCUUAAUUAAUAAAGUACAUGCAUUUUCCUAUUAGGUACCACAGUUAUUUUUAGAAAGUUCACAAUUUCAAUUAAAUUUCAAAACUUUAAAACCUUUUUUACAGAUCCGGUCAAUUUUAGGAGACAAGGCCAUGGAUUUACUUUGAGGGAUAGGUGACAAACUCUGAUGAAGCAAGGGAUAAUGUUAUUUCUUAACGACUGGGGAAAAAAUAAAGAUCAGUGUUUGCUUCUCUUCAUCACCAAGGCAUCUUCUCUGUCUCUUUACGUCCUCCUCUGCCUUAUAUCUUGAUGAAAGACUAGUUGUUCAUUCCAAUUUCAAGAAUUGAUCUUUCAGGGGGAAUAAUGGCCAUGGGAAGUAUUUUUGCAGCUGUGCCAGCUAUUGCUGCUGCUGCUGGAUUUUAUUUCAUAGGCAGAAACAACGUCAAGGAAAUCAAACAAGGGUCAUCAGUAUCCAGUCAAAAGAUGCUAGCAGAAGUGAAAGAACGAGCAAAGAGCCUUCAAAUGCCAAAAUUGGCACCACAGUUUGAUGGUUUAGAUUGUUUCGAAACCUUGGUGAUGAAUUGAGUUUGCUUGGGAUGGAACUGUUUGUGCCUUGUGCAGAAUGAAUGUUAGAUACGGGGAAAAAUUAUUUUGAGACACUUCUAUAUUCAUUUGAUAAUUAUUUUUCACUUUUCCAUUAAAAAAUCUGUCAAAUGAAUAUAUGUGUUAACCUACUAUUACCCAUUUGUUAUUAUAAGAUGAUAUUUCCUCCCAACAACUUCAUUAUUGUUUCAUAUCAAUUCCAUCUACUAGGUCUUGGCAAGUUUUAAAGAGAGGAAGCGUUGACAUAUCACUAGUUAAAAUAUAAUGAAAAGGAAAA